UACGGAAGGGGCGAGCGUUGUUCGGAAUCAUUGGGCGUAAAGGGCGCGUAGGUGGUUCUGUAUGUCUACCGUGAAAGCGUACGGCUCAACCGUAUUUUGUCGGUAGAAACUGCAGGACUUGAGGCUGGGAGGGGCUGGUGGAAUUCCCUGUGUAGCGGUGAAAUGCGUAGAGAUGGGGGAGAACACUCGUGGCGAAGGCGGCCAGCUAGACCAGAUCUGACACUGAGGCGCGACAGCGUGGGGAGCAAACAGG
This 253-nucleotide ribosomal RNA is filed under the name uncultured bacterium. RNAcentral's name for it is "partial 16S ribosomal RNA". It matches the Rfam family "Bacterial small subunit ribosomal RNA", at positions 524 to 776 of the family's 1533-position model. The record is from RNAcentral.